This 301-nucleotide ribosomal RNA is filed under the name uncultured bacterium. Its description in RNAcentral is "partial 16S ribosomal RNA". It matches the Rfam family "Bacterial small subunit ribosomal RNA", at positions 509 to 807 of the family's 1533-position model. The record is from RNAcentral.
CAGUAGCCGCGGUAAUACGAAGGGUGCAAGCGUUAAUCGGAAUUACUGGGCGUAAAGCGUGCGUAGGCGGUUUGUUAAGUCUGCUGUGAAAUCCCCGGGCUCAACCUGGGAAUGGCAGUGGAUACUGGCAAGCUAGAGUGUGUCAGAGGAUGGUGGAAUUCCCGGUGUAGCGGUGAAAUGCGUAGAGAUCGGGAGGAACAUCAGUGGCGAAAGCGGCCAUCUGGGACAACACUGACGCUGAGGCACGAAAGCGUGGGGAGCAAACAGGAUUAGAUACCCGCGUAGUCCCUGUCUCUUAUAC